This 349-nucleotide RNase P RNA is filed under the name Candidatus Endomicrobiellum glyptotermitis. RNAcentral describes it as "RNase P RNA component class A". It matches the Rfam family "Bacterial RNase P class A". Rfam says of the family: Ribonuclease P (RNase P) is a ubiquitous endoribonuclease, found in archaea, bacteria and eukarya as well as chloroplasts and mitochondria. Its best characterised activity is the generation of mature 5'-ends of tRNAs by cleaving the 5'-leader elements of precursor-tRNAs. The record is from RNAcentral. Lineage: Bacteria; Pseudomonadati; Elusimicrobiota; Endomicrobiia; Endomicrobiales; Endomicrobiaceae.
GGAGAUGGAUAUGCAAUCGCUUUACAUUUAUUGUAAAGAGGAAAGUCCGAACUUUAGCUGCAGGAAGUAGUGAUACUGCAGAAAAACGGUAGUAGGUAAUCCCUAUCAUUCGCGAGAAUAGAGGUGCGAACAGAGACGUUUUUUUUGGAAACAAAAAAAAUAUCCUGAGGAUAUGCAAAAGGAUAAGUUUUUGUAGUAAUACAAAAAGUGAAACGGCUAAAACCUUACCAUAAAGCAAGACUGAAUUAUAGUCGCUUGACCGUUAAAAGCGAUUUUAACGGCAGAGAAAUGAUUGCACUUUUAAAUUUGAUUUAAAAGACAGAAUUCGGGGUACAGUCCAUCUUUAGAA